AACCUGGUUGAUCCUGCCAGUAGUCAUAUGCUUGUCUCAAAGAUUAAGCCAUGCAUGUCUAAGUAUAAACAACUUUAUACUGUAAAACUGCGAACGGCUCAUUAUAUCAGCAAUUAUUUAUUCGAUGGUCUCUUACUACAUGGAUAACUGUGGUAAUUCUAGAGCUAAUACAUGCGUAAAAUCCCGACUCUCGCGGGGAGGGAUGUAUUUAUUAGAUAAAAAACCAAUGCGGGCUUGCCCGGUCUUGUGGUGAAUCAUAGUAACUUUUCGAAUCGCAUGGCUUCACGCUGGCGAUAGUUCAUUCAAAUUUCUGCCCUAUCAGCUUUCGACGGUAGUGUAGUGGACUACCGUGGCGUUAACGGGUGACGGAGGAUUAGGGUUCGAUUCCGGAGAGGGAGCCUGAGA
RNAcentral lists this ribosomal RNA (405 nucleotides) under uncultured marine eukaryote. Its description in RNAcentral is "SSU rRNA". It matches the Rfam family "Eukaryotic small subunit ribosomal RNA", at positions 1 to 401 of the family's 1831-position model. The record is from RNAcentral.